CCUACGGGGUGCUGCAGUGGGGAAUAUUGGACAAUGGGCGAAAGCCUGAUCCAGCCAUGCCGCGUGUGUGAAGAAGGCCUUCGGGUUGUAAAGCACUUUCAGUGGGGAAGAAAGCCUUGGGGCUAAUACCCUCGAGGAAGGACAUCACCCACAGAAGAAGCACCGGCUAACUCCGUGCCAGCAGCCGCGGUAAUACGGAGGGUGCGAGCGUUAAUCGGAAUUACUGGGCGUAAAGCGCGCGUAGGCGGUCUGAUAAGCCGGUUGUGAAAGCCCCGGGCUCAACCUGGGAACGGCAUCCGGAACUGUCAGGCUAGAGUGCAGGAGGGGAAGGUAGAAUUCCCGGUGUAGCGGUGAAAUGCGUAGAGAUCGGGAGGAAUACCAGUGGCGAAGGCGGCCUUCUGGACUGACACUGACGCUGAGGUGCGAAAGCGUGGGUAGCAAACAGGAUUAGAUACCCUAGUAGUC
RNAcentral lists this ribosomal RNA (465 nucleotides) under Vreelandella stevensii. RNAcentral's name for it is "partial 16S ribosomal RNA". It matches the Rfam family "Bacterial small subunit ribosomal RNA", at positions 338 to 795 of the family's 1533-position model. Lineage: Bacteria; Pseudomonadati; Pseudomonadota; Gammaproteobacteria; Oceanospirillales; Halomonadaceae. The record is from RNAcentral.